Long non-coding RNA from Zingiber officinale, 1157 nucleotides. RefSeq lists it as uncharacterized. The record is from RefSeq and is a predicted model, not a curated record. Lineage: Eukaryota; Viridiplantae; Streptophyta; Magnoliopsida; Zingiberales; Zingiberaceae. The transcript has 2 exons.
GCUCAUAUGCCGAUGCCCUAAGGCCAUCGUUAGAGAAGAUAUGACGGCGUUGAAGAAGCUCGAUCUGAUCUGACCGUGCGUUCUCCGGAAAUGUCCUACGCCGUGCAGCCGGCGAAGCUUAGCUUCGAAGAGCCGAGGAUGAGCUCAUCGAAUUCGCAUCACCCUCACCUCUAAGAACGCCAAAACCUUCAGAAGGGUACGUACCUUGUGAGAUCUCUGCCGUGUUUGUUUUUGUCGACGAUCGCUGGAUCUAUUGUAGUCUAUCUUGUUGUGUUUCCUCUGGGCGAUAACCUUGUGAAGGGAACAAAGGACAAGAGUCUCAAGUUAAGGGCCCCGUGAUUUUGCCAACCAAGGUCCUCUAUAUCACCACGAGGAAGUGGUUGUACCCUUGAGUGGUUUGGCCGUGGAGAUGAUGAUAAAAAUAUGGUAAUUUGACACAGCUUUCUAUGAAGUCUCAAAAUCGAGCUUUUUAAAACUUAUGCCAUGUAUGAUGGUUGUCUUUAGUACUGUUUUACCGUAGGAACUGCUUUGUUAUUUCUCUUUUUUCAAUAUUAGAAACGAAAGGUUAUUGGUUCUAUGAUGCCUUCGAUGAGUUUCUCUAGGCUGUACCCUUGAGUGGAUUGACUGUGCAGAUGAUGAUAAAAUUAUGGUAAUUUAACACAGAGAGCUUUCUAUGAAGUCUCAAAAUCGAGCUUUUUAAAACUGAUGCACAGUUUGCUCAUCUAUGAUGGUUGCCUUAGUACUGUUUUAUUGUAGGAACUGCUUUGUUAUCUGACUAACUUCUACAAUUUUUCUUCUUUUAAAUAUCAGAAAUGAAGGUUUUCUUGGUUCUAUGGUUCUUUUGAUGUGGUUCUGUUAAAUUGUACCCUGUGUGAUUUGACUGUGCAGAUGAUGAUAAAUCCUAGUUAUUUACACAGAGCUUUCUAUGAAGUCUCAAAAUCGAGCUUUUUAAGACUGAUGCACAGUUUAUUCGUGUACGAGGGUUGUCUUUAGUAAUGUAUUAUUGUACUGAUGUGGUUCGGUUAGGUUGUAUCCUUUUGUGAUCUAUGAUAAACACAGUAGUUUAGCACCAAGAGCUUUUUAUGAAGUCUUAAAAUUGAGCUCUGUAAAACUGAUGUGCAGUUUCCACGUCUAUGAUUAUGAUAUCUGUUUUGUUA